UGGGGGAUAUUGCACAAUGGGCGAAAGCCUGAUGCAGCGACGCCGCGUGGGGGAUGAAGGCCUUCGGGUUGUAAACUUCUUUUGCUCUGAACAAGGCAUGCUAAUGGGUGUGUUGAGUGUAGGGGUUGAUUAGCGCCGGCUAACUACGUGCCAGCAGCCGCGGUAAUACGUAGGGCGCGAGCGUUGUCCGGAAUUAUUGGGCGUAAAGGGCUUGUAGGUGGCUGGUUGCGUCUGUCGUGAAAGCUCAUGGCUUAACUGUGGGUUUGCGGUGGGUACGGGCUGGCUUGAGUGCAGUAGGGGAGGCUGGAAUUCCUGGUGUAGCGGUGGAAUGCGCAGAUAUCAGGAGGAAUACCGGUGGCGAAGACGGGUCUCUGGGCUGUUACUGACACUGAGGAGCGAAAGCAUGGGGAGCGAACAGG
RNAcentral lists this ribosomal RNA (419 nucleotides) under bacterium. Its description in RNAcentral is "partial 16S ribosomal RNA". It matches the Rfam family "Bacterial small subunit ribosomal RNA", at positions 355 to 776 of the family's 1533-position model. The record is from RNAcentral.